Molecule: ribosomal RNA, 457 nt
Filed under: uncultured bacterium
Lineage: Bacteria
Description: bacterial SSU rRNA
Rfam family: Bacterial small subunit ribosomal RNA
Source: RNAcentral
UACGGAAGGCAGCAGUGGGGAAUAUUGCACAAUGGGCGAAAGCCUGAUGCAGCUAUGCCGCGUGUAUGAAGAAGGCCUUAGGGUUGUAAAGUACUUUCAUCGGGGAGGAAAAACAAAACUAAUAAUUUUAUUUCUUGACGUUACCCGAAAAAGAAGCACCGGCUAACUCCGUGCCAGCAGCCGCGGUAAUACGGAGGGUGCUAGCGUUAAUCAGAAUUACUGGGCGUAAAGAGCACGUAGGUGGUUUUUUUAAGUCAGAUGUGAAAUCCCCUGGGCUUAACCUAGGAACUGCAUUUUGAAAACUGAAAUACUAGAGUAUCGUAGAGGGAGGUAGAAUUCUAGGUGUAGCGGUGAAAUGCGUAGAUAUCUGGAGGAAUACCUGUGGCGAAAGCGGCCUCCUAAACGAAUACUGACACUGAGGUGCGAAAGCGUGGGGAGCAAACAGGGAUUAGAUACC